This 825-nucleotide long non-coding RNA is filed under the name Equus caballus (horse). RNAcentral's name for it is "lncRNA (ENSECAG00000046796.1)". Lineage: Eukaryota; Metazoa; Chordata; Mammalia; Perissodactyla; Equidae. The record is from RNAcentral.
GUUUUCUUAUUGCUGUUGCCAUGUAUUCUCUGGUGAUAUAAAAAUGUGGAACUUUAGAAAAGAACCACUGGCUGUCCAUUUUUAAACUGAGCCACUCCUAAAAAUAUUUUAACAAAUAUUCCUUCCUUCCUUCUGGAUUCAGCUCAAAUGAUAUCUCUUAUAGGAAACAUUUUUAAGUCAGAAUCAAUCAUUCACCUCUAGCUACUCAGCAGAAGUGUAAUAGGAGCUAUAUGUUGAACAUUAUUAACCUGGCUUACUCUUUUGCCCUUCUGAGCUGUAUUCCAUUGAAGAGAGCCUUCUGCUUCGAUGUAGAUCAAGAUUUCUUCCAAAAGGAAUGAAAAGCAAAAGACUGAGAAUUCUGGAGGCUGGGAGUCCAAGAUCAAGGUGUCAGCAGAGUUGAUUUCUGGAUCAGAGCGCCCUAGGUUGUAAUCAAGGGCUGCAGACGUGGGAGUGGAGUGAGUGUGUCACGGAGCCGUCAUCCUGGGCAGUUGUUCUCCAGGGAUUGUUCCUGUCUGCUUGGGGGCGAUAUUUUGGCCCUCGUGAUGGGCUUUUCCUGUGUUCAGGGAAUGGUAUAGUAUUUGCCUCUUCUUCCUCCCUCACCCAGCUGCCUUCCUUGAAGUCAAGAGGGGUACCUGACUUGUCUUUGUGUCUCUUGCAGUGAUGUUCACGGAGUCAUUCACAUAGUAGGUGCUGAAUAAAUAUUAAUGGAAUCCAGUGUAGGCAGCAUUAUGCAGAGCUCACUCCCUGCUUCUUGCUGUCAUUCAAGAGUCCACCAUAACAUUUUUCCUACUGAGUGGGACUUGAACUUACAAUUUUUCUCACCCU